GAUGAACGCUGGCGGCGUGCCUAAUACAUGCAAGUCGAGCGAACAGACGAGGAGCUUGCUCCUCUGACGUUAGCGGCGGACGGGUGAGUAACACGUGGAUAACCUCCCUAUAAGACUGUGUUAACUUCGGGAAACCGGAGCUAAUACUGGGUAAUAUAUUGAACCGCAUGGUUCAAUAGUGUAAGACGGUUUUUCUGUCACUUAUAGAUGGAUCCGCGCCGCAUUAGCUAGUUGGUAAGGUAAUGGCUUACCAAGGCAGCGAUGCGUAGCCGACCUGAGAGGGUGGUCGGCCGUCCUGGAGGGGAGGCGCCGUGCAGACGCCUACGAGAGGCAGCAGCAGUGAAUAUUCCGGCAUGGGGGGAGGCCUGAUGGUGCAGCGCCGCGUCAGGAAUGAUGGCCUUCGGAGCGUAGAAAUCUUCUAUUAGGGAAGAAGAAGUGUGUACUCAACUGUGCGCGUGUUGACGGUACCUAGUCAGAAAGCGACGGCUAACUACGUG
RNAcentral lists this ribosomal RNA (497 nucleotides) under uncultured bacterium. RNAcentral describes it as "partial 16S ribosomal RNA". It matches the Rfam family "Bacterial small subunit ribosomal RNA", at positions 28 to 507 of the family's 1533-position model. The record is from RNAcentral.